CUCAACAGGGUGCGCUGGUCGUCGGGGGGGAAGGAAGUAGCUGUGGGAGACUCAGAGGGCCGGGUCUGGAUCUACGACACGGGAGAGCUGUCAGUGACCCACACCGACGACUGGGCGCGCUUCGCUCGGACCCUGAUGGAGAUCCGGGCCAACCGGGCGGACGGCGAGGAGGAGGGGCCUAUGGAGCUGGCUUCAUAGAACAGGACUCCAAAACCAAAGCGGAGGGAAUCAGAGAGCUGGCGGGCUUUUAUCGGUGUCACUGUAGCAUGUGCUCCUCACUCAGUUUCAUUUCAGUUCCCCACCUUUACCUACAUGUUCCUGUCUGAUGCAAACGAGGCUUCUGUUGUGUUUUUUCGCAUUUGCUCUCCUGUAAAUGCAAACUGUCCUUUACGAAGGGUCAACGGUUGACUCCUACUGAUUUGUCCGCCCUUAUUUAUUCGUUUAAUGACUUCAGGUGAUGUGUUUCUUGCAACUCGUGAGCCUACGGUAUAUAAAGAGUGGCAGUCUUAUAGCCUUAUGAAGAUAUGUGUACUGUAACAAUGCUUUGCACUACCGUAAAAAUAAAGCAGGGUCCAUAGACUAGUCAUGUUUACAACGAGUCACGUUCACUUUAUGUUGUGCUUCUUUUCUCUGUAUCAAGCCUGCAUGCGACACAUUCCUAAAAUAUUCCCGAAACAUGGAGUUAAUAUGGUGACGUAAUCACACGUGGGGCGUUGUUGCUGCUUUAUGUCGGUGUUUGAGUCGGUACGUCGGAAUCAAGUGUGGUUUUGGGCACUUUGUCUUCAGUUACUGAAUGAGAGCUUCAACUGUAUAUUCUCUAAUGAACUGUAACAAGAGGUAUAUUGUAAUUCAGAGUGAUGGCUGUUAAACCUGCUAUGUUUACUAUUAAAGCGUAGCCAAUAAACUGC
Long non-coding RNA from Stegastes partitus (bicolor damselfish), 908 nucleotides. RefSeq lists it as uncharacterized. The record is from RefSeq and is a predicted model, not a curated record. NCBI's taxonomy places the organism in Eukaryota, Metazoa, Chordata, Actinopteri, Pomacentridae. The transcript is spliced from 2 exons.